UUUGCUCUUUUGGUUAGGAUUUGAUAAGUUGAGCAUGUUUGUGUCAGCCUCAACCUUGAGAAAUACUUGUUUAACUAUUAGGGUUGAAUUUUUAUUUUCAAAUGUGUAUAAACCAUCUUUGUAGGCUGGAAUAUAUGUAUUAUGGUUUUGUAUUGAGAUAUUCAUGCAUUUACACCCUUGAGUUUUAAUUCAAUGGAAAAAUUUUAAAAGAACGCGUUCUAGCCCAUUGGUCUUAUACCCACCUACAUGUUUAUUAAGAAAUCCAGCUGCAAUUUUCAUGGGUAAUAAGUAUGUGCUUUAAGAAUGAAUUUUAUGCAAUAUUUGGGUUUCUUUUUCUCCUAUUUUUGGCCUAAUUUCAAUUCAUUGAUAUUCUGCAACUCUCUCAAAUUCCAUGGAAAUAAUCUGAUUAUGAGAGAUAAACCAAUGGAUAUGAACUCUCUCUCUCUCUCUCUCUCUCUCUCUCUCUACUACUACUACUAUAUAGUAUAAGUAUACUAUACGUUACGUACGUUAGUAAGUAAGUAAGUUAAGUAACGUACGUACGUUAGUACGUUACGUNNNNNNNNNNNNNNNNNNNNCGACUACUACUCUAACUUAACCUACUACGUAAGUAAAGUAACUACGUAGUUAUUAAGUAAGAAGUAACAACUACGAGUAUAGUACUACUCUCUCUCUCUCUCUCUCUCUCUCUCUCUCUCUCAAACUGAAUAUAUGAACUAGAUCAUAGUCUGCUUUAGAAUGGAAAAUUUGCAAGACUUGCUUGUGUUAAUACAUCACCAAUUAGCAUUUAUGGCAUUUGUUUGCUUGUGUUAGACAACUUGGAACUCAUGGCUUACUUCAAUUUUAUUUUUUUUUCCC
RNAcentral lists this long non-coding RNA (858 nucleotides) under Amborella trichopoda. RNAcentral describes it as "long non-coding RNA (ATRI_LNC000897)". Lineage: Eukaryota; Viridiplantae; Streptophyta; Magnoliopsida; Amborellales; Amborellaceae. The record is from RNAcentral.